AACGAACGCUGGCGGCAUGCCUAACACAUGCAAGUCGAACGAGACCUUCGGGGCUAGUGGCGCACGGGUGAGUAACGCGUGGGAACCUGCCCUUAGGUUCGGAACAACUCCCCGAAAGGGGUGCUAUACCGGAUAAUGUCUUCGGACCAAAGAUUUAUCGCCUUUGGAUGGGCCCGCGUUGGAUUAGCUAGUUGGUAGGGUAAAAGCCUACCAAGGCGACGAUCCAUAGCUGGUCUGAGAGGAGGUCAAGCCACUCUCGGGCUGAGACACGGUACAGACUCCGACGCGAGACAGCAGUGGGGAAUAUGGGACCAUGGGCGAGAGCCUGAUCCACCAACGCCGCGUAGGUGAGGCAGGCCUUAGGGUUGUACACCCCUUUGACCCGCCAUGAUAAUGACAGUACCGGGCGAAUAAGCACCGGCUCACUCCGUG
This 432-nucleotide ribosomal RNA is filed under the name uncultured bacterium. Its description in RNAcentral is "partial 16S ribosomal RNA". It matches the Rfam family "Bacterial small subunit ribosomal RNA", at positions 29 to 507 of the family's 1533-position model. The record is from RNAcentral.